UGGCCCGACCCGGCCAUAGCGGCCGGGCAACACCCGGACUCAUGUCGAACCCGGAAGUUAAGCCGGCCGCGUUGGGGGAUGCUGUGGGGUCCGCGAGGCCCCGCAGCGCCCCCAAGCCGGGAUCGGGCCG
Molecule: ribosomal RNA, 130 nt
Filed under: Pyrodictium occultum
Lineage: Archaea; Thermoproteati; Thermoproteota; Thermoprotei; Desulfurococcales; Pyrodictiaceae
Source: RNAcentral